RNAcentral lists this ribosomal RNA (818 nucleotides) under marine gamma proteobacterium BBFL3. Its description in RNAcentral is "bacterial SSU rRNA". It matches the Rfam family "Bacterial small subunit ribosomal RNA", at positions 29 to 835 of the family's 1533-position model. Lineage: Bacteria; Pseudomonadati; Pseudomonadota; Gammaproteobacteria. The record is from RNAcentral.
AUGANCGCUGGCGGCAGGCCUAACACAUGCAAGUCGAACGGUAACAGGAAGUGCUUGCACUUCGCUGACGAGUGGCGGACGGGUGAGUAAUGCUUGGGAACUUGCCUUUGCGAGGGGGAUAACAGUUGGAAACGACUGCUAAUACCGCAUAAUGUCUACGGACCAAACGGGGCUUAGGCUUCGGCGCAAAGAGAGGCCCAAGUGAGAUUAGCUAGUUGGUAAGGUAAAGGCUUACCAAGGCAACGAUCUCUAGCUGUUCUGAGAGGAAGAUCAGCCACACUGGAACUGAGACACGGUCCANACUCCUACGGGAGGCAGCAGUGGGGAAUAUUGCACAAUGGGGGAAACCCUGAUGCAGCCAUGCCGCGUGUGUGAAGAAGGCCUUCGGGUUGUAAAGCACUUUCAGUUGUGAGGAAAAGUUAGUAGUUAAUACCUGCUAGCCGUGACGUUAACAACAGAAGAAGCACCGGCUAACUCCGUGCCAGCAGCCGCGGUAAUACGGAGGGUGCGAGCGUUAAUCGGAAUUACUGGGCGUAAAGCGCACGCAGGCGGUUUGUUAAGCUAGAUGUGAAAGCCCCGGGCUCAACCUGGGACGGUCAUUUAGAACUGGCAGACUAGAGUCUUGGAGAGGGGAGUGGAAUUCCAGGUGUAGCGGUGAAAAUGCGUANAUAUCUGGAGGAACAUCAGUGGCGAAAGGCGACUCCCUGGCCAAANACUGACGCUCAUGUGCCAAAAGUGUGGGUAGCCGAACAGGAUUAGANUCCCUNGGUANUCCCCACCCGUAAACNCUGNCUACNUAACNUGUUUGGNGGCUUUUA